UUUAGAGUUUGAAUCCUGGCUCAGGACGAACGCUGGCGGCGUGCUUAACACAUGCAAGUCGAACGGAAAGGUCUCUUCGGAGAUACUCGAGUGGCGAACGGGUGAGUAACACGUGGGUGAUCUGCCCUGCACUUCGGGAUAAGCCUGGGAAACUGGGUCUAAUACCGGAUAGGACCACGGGAUGCAUGUCUUGUGGUGGAAAGCGCUUUAGCGGUGUGGGAUGAGCCCGCGGCCUAUCAGCUUGUUGGUGGGGUGACGGCCUACCAAGGCGACGACGGGUAGCCGGCCUGAGAGGGUGUCCGGCCACACUGGGACUGAGAUACGGCCCAGACUCCUACGGGAGGCAGCAGUGGGGAAUAUUGCACAAUGGGCGCAAGCCUGAUGCAGCGACGCCGCGUGGGGGAUGACGGCCUUCGGGUUGUAAACCUCUUUCACCAUCGACGAAGGUCCGGGUUCUCUCGGAUGUGACGGUAGGUGGAGAAGAAGCACCGGCCAACUACGUGCCAGCAGCCCGCGGUAA
Molecule: ribosomal RNA, 520 nt
Filed under: Mycobacterium sp.
Lineage: Bacteria; Bacillati; Actinomycetota; Actinomycetes; Mycobacteriales; Mycobacteriaceae
Description: bacterial SSU rRNA
Rfam family: Bacterial small subunit ribosomal RNA
Source: RNAcentral